UAGGGAAUCUUCCGCAAUGGACGCAAGUCUGACGGAGCAACGCCGCGUGAGUGAAGAAGGAUUUCGGUUCGUAAAACUCUGUUGUUAGAGAAGAACAGCGCAUAGAGUAACUGUUAUGCGUGUGACGGUAUCUAACCAGAAAGCCACGGCUAACUACGUGCCAGCAGCCGCGGUAAUACGUAGGUGGCAAGCGUUGUCCGGAUUUAUUGGGCGUAAAGCGAGCGCAGGCGGUCAAUUAAGUCUGAUGUGAAAGCCCCCGGCUCAACCGGGGAGGGUCAAGGGAAACUGGUUGACUUGAGUGCAGAAGAGGAGAGUGGAAUUCCAUGUGUAGCGGUGAAAUGCGUAGAUAUAUGGAGGAACACCAGUGGCGAAGGCGACUCUCUGGUCUGUAACUGACGCUGAGGCUCGAAAGCGUGGGUAGCAAACAGG
RNAcentral lists this ribosomal RNA (429 nucleotides) under Bacteroidota bacterium. Its description in RNAcentral is "Bacteroidetes bacterium partial 16S ribosomal RNA". It matches the Rfam family "Bacterial small subunit ribosomal RNA", at positions 355 to 776 of the family's 1533-position model. Lineage: Bacteria; Pseudomonadati; Bacteroidota. The record is from RNAcentral.